This is an RNA transcript of Vombatus ursinus (common wombat), 2687 nucleotides long. It is a transcript of the gene named HGH1 homolog, with no coding region annotated. NCBI's taxonomy places the organism in Eukaryota, Metazoa, Chordata, Mammalia, Diprotodontia, Vombatidae. The record is from RefSeq and is a predicted model, not a curated record. The transcript is spliced from 8 exons.
GGGCGCAUGUGGCCAGGUGGCAGUAGCUGCGGCGGCUUCUUGGAGGUGAGCCCCAUGGAGUCCCAUCUGGAGGCGGAGGAUGUGGCGCAGGAGUUCGUGACCUUUCUGAACCAAGGGACCCCGCCAGACAUCCAGGCAAAGGCAGCCCGCUAUGUGCUGGGACUGACGGGGUCCGAACCUGGCCGGUCACUGCUGACAGCACAGAAAGGGCUGCUGCAGGCAUUAGCAAAACUCUUAGAGGCCCCUCCUGGGACAGCGGCAGGGGCGGUGGGAGAUGCCUGGCGGGCACUGGUGAACCUGUGUGCAGAACCCAGUAUCCACGGCUCUCUGCUGGCUGCACUGCCUGGGCUGCCAGUCCAGCUACUGGCCCGGGCACUAGCCCCAAACUGGCCCUGGGCUGGAGAGGCAGCCGCUGCGCUGGCCAACCUGAGCCGGGAGUCAGGGCCCGCCAGGGAGCUGUUGGCGGAGAGUAGCUUGGAGUCCACCAACGACGAGGCAAAUCAGGAACCCAGCCUGGCCCGCCUUGUGACUGCCUUGACCACCCCAGACUAUAACCCCCAUGCCCCACUCCACUACCUGGCAUCAGUGCUCUCCAACCUCAGCCAACUACCAGGAGCACGGGCCUUCUUGCUGGAUCCGAACAGGUGUCUGAUCCAGCAUCUCCUGCCCCUCAUCCACUGCCCAGACUCUGCUGUUCGAAGGAUGGGGGUGGUAGGCAUGCUGAGGAACUGCUGCUUUGAGCACCGUUCCCAUGAGUGGCUCCUGGGUCCCCAAGUAGAGCUGCUUACCUUCCUGCUGAUGCCACUGGCUGGCCCAGAGGAGUUCUCGGAAGACGAGAUGGAUCGAUUGCCAGUAGACCUGCAGUACCUGCCCCCAGACAAGGAGCGUGAGCCAGAUCCUGAUAUUCGAAGGAUGCUCAUUGAGACCAUUAUGCUGCUCACAGCCACUGCUCCUGGACGGCAGCUGGUGAAGGAUCAAGGGGCUUACCUGGUGCUUAGGGAGCUGCAUAGCUGGGAACGUGACCCUAACGUCCGGCUGGCCUGUGAGAAACUCAUUCAGGUGCUGAUUGGGGAUGAGCCAGAGGCAGGCAUGGAGAACCUGCUAGAAGUGAGUGUUCCCCCAGAUGUAGAGCAGAGGUUGCAGCAACUGGACCAGCAAGAGCAGCAGCAGCUUCAGCAGGAGCGAGAAGAGGCAGUGCAGAGCCCUAGCAGGCUGGAUGGCUUGGGACCUAGCUGAUGUCUUCUGCCCAGACUAGGGGCCCUGGACCCUCCCCAUCCCCCCUUGUCCCUUGAUCACAGGGAUCUUGUGACUGGUAGACACAGCCAGGUUACCUUGGGACAGGCUGGGCCGGAAGGCCAGACUCUGACGCAUGAGGUGCAGCAUUUUAUGGGGUUGUCUCUCCUUGAAGGGCAGCUUCCCUGUCACCAUGGCGUAGAGGAUCACGCCACUGUACAAGGACAGACCUGUCGUCACCAUCAUCCCAAUCCCCCUAUUUUUACAAAGCUUUUCUCGAAACAACCCUGUGAGGUAGGUAGUUGGAGCAGCAUUGCCCCUAAUUACAGAGGGGAAAAGUAAAACUGGGGAAAGCCAAGGGCUCUGAUGCUCAAGGGCACAUAGCUGGUGAGCCAGGGCCUGGAGGAGAACUUGGGGGGCGGGGCCCUCUACCUUCGCACCCACUUUGGCCAUACUGAUUUACAAAGGCUUUUCCUCACUGUGGUGACAUAGUCUUGCAGGUAUUUUACCAAGGUGCAGACAAGGUCAGUCACUUGCCCAAGGUCACACCACUAGGGUUGGAGCCAAAAUUUGAACCCAGAGUGCCUGAGUGGGCCAGAUGACUUCUAAGAUCCAGUCCUGAGUCUGCUGUCCUAUGAAUGGGUUCUUUCUACUUCAUUCUUCACACUCCCCCAACCCCCCCACCCCGUCUCCCUCAGUCCUACUAGAGCCACUUCCUUGCCCCUUCCUGGUGCUCACUCCCCAGCCAUGCCCCCACCCCCACCUCAAGCCAUAGAGGUUAUUCUGUUCUUUGUUGAGAGGCCUUGCCCCUUACCCUGUUCCCACUGAGUUCCUUGCUACGUUGGCUACUAUUUUUUCACCUGGAGCUCAUUCUCCUGCACUCUGGAUUCCUCGAGGACCCACAGUCCUAUUUUUGGUGAGACUUGCUUCCCUGCUCCCUGUUCAUUUCCCAGGGCUCCCUAUGGCUUUGAAGUUUGCUCGCCGGCUCCUUGCCCUCCUCCCCUGGAGCUGCCUGUGAUCUUGGGGCUCUCCUGCCCUGGGGCCCCCGCUGCUUUGUCACUCACAGGCUCCACAGGUCGGCCUGUUCACCAUUGUACUUCUUGCUCAUGAGGAUCUCAGGGGCUGUGUAGGCCACAGAGCCACAGAAUGUGCUCAGCAGAGAAUUCUUCACUGCGGUCCGAUUGGCAAAGCCGAAGUCUGAGGGGGCAGGGGCAGAGAGGAGGGUUUGGUGAAGAUGACUCUGUACAAUGAGGACAUCUCGGGGAUGAGGAUUGGGAACAGAGGAGAGGCUGAAAAGGGGUUGCUUCACGGGGAGACAAAUCUUCCUUGCCCUUCCCCGACAUUUGUCUGUGUCAGAGACUCUGCCUUUGUGUGUCCUCGGCUGCCUUGUUAAGGCCCAGGCACCCCUUGUCCGAAUAUGUUUUUAAAUUCAUAAAAUAAAAUACAAAGGAAAC